UACGGGGGGGGCAAGCGUUGUUCGGAAUUACUGGGCGUAAAGGGCGCGUAGGCGGCCUUCUAAGUCGGACGUGAAAUCCCUCGGCUUAACCGAGGAACUGCGUCCGAUACUGAAAGGCUUGAAUCCGGGAGAGGGAUGUGGAAUUCCAGGUGUAGCGGUGAAAUGCGUAGAUAUCAGGAGGAACACCUGCGGUGUAGACGGCUUUCUGGACCAUUGUUGACGCUGAGACACGAAAGCGUGGGUAGCAAACAGG
RNAcentral lists this ribosomal RNA (253 nucleotides) under uncultured bacterium. RNAcentral's name for it is "partial 16S ribosomal RNA". It matches the Rfam family "Bacterial small subunit ribosomal RNA", at positions 524 to 776 of the family's 1533-position model. The record is from RNAcentral.